This 207-nucleotide unclassified non-coding RNA is filed under the name uncultured Rhodosporidiobolus. RNAcentral's name for it is "sequence contains ITS2". The record is from RNAcentral. Lineage: Eukaryota; Fungi; Basidiomycota; Microbotryomycetes; Sporidiobolales; Sporidiobolaceae.
ACUCUUCAACCCUCCCUUUUCUCAGUGACUAGAGAGGUGCUUGGAUUCUGAGUGUUUGCCCCUUACCCGGGCUCAUUCGUAAUGCAUUAGCAUCCCAUUCGAAUUUCGGAUUGACUUGGCGUAAUAGACUAUUCGCUGAGGAUUCUACUCUCGCAGUAGAGCCGGGUUCGAGAGGAAGCUUCUAAUCUAGCUUAGUCUACUUUUAAU